RNAcentral lists this transfer RNA (67 nucleotides) under bovine gut metagenome. It matches the Rfam family "tRNA". From Rfam's summary of the family: Transfer RNA (tRNA) molecules are approximately 80 nucleotides in length. Their secondary structure includes four short double-helical elements and three loops (D, anti-codon, and T loops). The record is from RNAcentral.
CCGGUAGCUCAGCUGGUAGAGCACUAGACUGAAAAUCUAGGUGUUGCCGGUUCAACCCCGGCCUGGG